This 109-nucleotide small RNA is filed under the name Arabidopsis thaliana (thale cress). RNAcentral's name for it is "ATSL037920". Lineage: Eukaryota; Viridiplantae; Streptophyta; Magnoliopsida; Brassicales; Brassicaceae. The record is from RNAcentral.
ACUUUUAACCAAAAUCCUACUUUAGCUUCUUGAAUCCGGUUGCGGUUCUAGUUCUUAUGCUCAACGAUACACAAAGCAUCUAGUCAUAUGUGACUAUAAAUACGCUAAC